This 265-nucleotide unclassified non-coding RNA is filed under the name Glomeraceae sp. RNAcentral's name for it is "partial contains 5.8S ribosomal RNA and internal transcribed spacer 2". The stretch from base 1 to 65 matches the Rfam family "5.8S ribosomal RNA", at positions 84 to 154 of the family's 154-position model. Lineage: Eukaryota; Fungi; Glomeromycota; Glomeromycetes; Glomerales; Glomeraceae. The record is from RNAcentral.
GUGAAUCAUCGAAUUUUUGAACGCAAAUUGCACUCUCUUCGGAGCGUAUGACUGUUUGAGGGUCAGUAUUAAUAAUAAUCGGUGUGUUGCUUCUUUGUGACGCUUCGGAGUUUGGGUCAUCUUACUAUUCUUUAGUUUUUUAGAUGCUUAACAUUGACUUUUUUUGAGCUUUUUAGUUGUACAUAAAUUUUUUUUUUAUUUUUCUGUCUUAAUGCUCAAUAUCCUAUUCGAUGUGACCAUAUCGUGUGGUUUUGUGUCUAUAACU